Molecule: long non-coding RNA, 6808 nt
Organism: Bactrocera dorsalis (oriental fruit fly)
Lineage: Eukaryota; Metazoa; Arthropoda; Insecta; Diptera; Tephritidae
Exons: 4
Source: RefSeq, a predicted model, not a curated record
GCCAAUGAAAUGUAAAGUUUUAAGAACAUUUUAAAUAAUUUUACAAAGAGACUCAGCGACUACUAACUACAACUACUGUUGAAGCAUAUGGAAACAAAUUUGGUGUGGACAUGCAUGUUUAUUUAAUUAAUUUCAUAUGUGCUCGCAAUACGGGUAUGCAUAUAUUCUUCAAACCAGACUACUGUAAAUGAGCAAGUGCUACGAAUCUAGAACACUUUUUUUGCAUACUGCAACUUGUUUUUACUUUCUCACCUGUCCAUCGCCAACUUCGCCUGGUCUCAAUAACUGUAAUUAGUGCAUGAUCAAAAACACAAAUUAAAAACUUUAAACAAUCAAAGUUGGGCUUUUAUGUAGAUUUGUAUAAAAGUGUUCUUUGUGUGUGGUAGUGCUUUGUUCAAGCCUCAAAGUCAAAAACUAAAAACAUUUGUAAUACGAAAAGACAUAAUUUUGUUCAGUGCAUCUUCCAAAUUGUUUUACUACCCGAAGCAUUAUAAAAAAUCGUGAAAAUUGAUCCCGUGACCUUGAUCUUUGUGCGGGCCUCCGACGCUUCCUUCUGGGUGUUACAAACUUCGUGACAAACUUAAUAUACCCUGUUUAGGGUAUAAAAAACGAUUGAAAGACGCAUAUCAUUCGUGCUCGUACCAUCGUAAAGGAGGUUCGUAAAACAAGAAGCAUUGGAAAUUAGAAUGAAUUGGAAAUAGCAGCAGCAGCAGUGUCAUCAGGAGCAGCAAAUAUCAAUUUUUUAAUUAUAUCACUAUUUUUAUUAAUCUUUGCUUUCAGAGUAAAUUCUAUUUGUAUUUAAUAUACAGUGGCGGACAAAAGUCUACAUGCACCCCCUGUUUUCUUCGAUGUGAGAGUACAAAAAGUUUUUACAAAAAUGUAUUUAUACAGUUUUAUUCUAAUAUUUAUUAUAAUAGCAGUUAACUAAAAAAGUUCAUUAUUUAACAUAAAACAACAAAUUUAUGGAAGAAAAACUCAAAAAUUGCUUUGACAAAAGUCUACAUACAGUUCAAAUCUCAUACUUUGUACAUUGUUAUAUUAACAGUAAGGUAACGUUAGCCUUUUCUUUUAUUUCAAUAUGUUUAUUGUUUGAUAUUUAUUGAAUUUAGUUGUGGUUUAAACACUUAAAUAGCUAUAAUGGCUCCGCGAAAUGAAAUAUCAAUUGAUGUAAGAAAUUUGGUGAUAAAAGAAAGAAAAGAAAAAAAAUCAUAUGGUGAAAUUUCUAAAAUUUUAAACUUGAGUCGAGCAACAGUACAGACAAUUCUAAAAAACUUUAAAAAUAAUGGUUCCAACGAAAAUUAACCGCGCAGUAGACCCCCAAAAAAACAAUCUCGUAGAUACGUCAGCCUGAUUCUCAACGAAGUAGACCAAAAUCCAAAAGUAAAUGCUCCAAAUAUAGCCGAACGAGUACGUCACAAAUGAGUAUCCAACCAAGAACAAUAAAAAAAAAACUCUAAACGAUAACGGAUUCCACAGUAGAACACCACGGAAGAAACCUUUUAUUUCUGAAAAAAUCGGAAAAUUCGUUUAAAGUUCGCCAAAAAACACAAAGAAAAGGAAAUGGAUUUUUGGAAAAAAGUUUCAUUUACAGAUGAUUCUAAAUUCCCUCUUUUUGGUAGUGAUGAAAGUGCUAAAAUUUGAUGGAAAACUAACGCCACGCUUGAACCGAAGAACGUAGUAUCAAUUGUGAAGCUCGGUGGCGGCAGCGUAAUGGUUUGGGGAGUUGUUGCGGCCUCUGGAGUUAGAAAUUCGGACUUUAUUGAAGGUGAAAUGGACGGUUAUAAGUAUAAGUCUCUGUUGCAACAUAAUUUGAAGCCUUUGGUGGAUAAUUUAGGGCUCGGUUCCGGUUGGAUAUUUCAACAAGAUAACGAUCCGAUGCAUGCGGCGCAAAUUGUCAAGGAUUGGUUGCAUUAUUAUACUCCAAAUGAAUUAAAUACACCACCUCAAAGUCCAAAUAUGAAUAUUAUUGAACAUGUAUGGGAGAUUUUGGAGCGUAGAAUUAGAAAACACCAAAUUUCUAGCUCUGCUCUACUCUAAGAGCGCAUAUUGGGACCUUGGAACAGCAUUACAUUUGCAGCGUUGACAAAUUUAGCAGAAUCAAUGCCACGGCGUCUUCAAGCAGUUAUAGAUACCAAUGGGGACCCAACUAAAUACUAAAACGUCUUAAUAACUAGCAUUUUUUACAGUUUUUCGCACUGAACUAAGAUAUUUUUGUACUGUAUGUAGACUUUUGUCAACACAAUAUUUGAGUUUUUAUUCCAUAAAUUUGUAGUUUUAUAUUAAUUAAUGGAUUUUUUAAGUUUGUUGUUAUUAGAAAGAAGAUUAGAAUAAAACUGUAUCAACACAUUUUUCUAAAAAGUUUUUGUACUCUCACAUCGAAGAAAACAGGGGGUGUAUGUAGACUUUUGUCCGCCACUGUAUUUUAUUGUAGAAAAGUAAUUUAGUCUAUUUCGCAGCCGGUUUAGAGGAACUGAAUACAACACGUCUUAUUUUCCAGAACAUUUAUUUGCGAAUGACAAAUGGUACAAAAGAAAUUCAUGAAUAUAACUGAGAGAGUUGGCUUCAGUUUCAAGUACAGUUAUAACAAAUAUUAUAUGUAGCUCUCUUUACAGUAGUGGCAAAUAUAUUUCAACACUCCGUCUCUAUAUAUAAUUAGGCAAUUCACAAGCUUUGUUGUAUGUCUUAUGUCAUAUUUUAAUAUUCUUAAAAAAUACGACACUUGUGAGCACCCUUAACUGUUGUAUGUCAUAUUUUGUCAUAUUUCUACACAUAAUCAGCUGAUAGUGAAAAAUUAAGAAGACAGAAAUGCCACAAGCAAUUCAGAAAAAUAAAAUUAUAGCUUCUUUAUGUGAAAAUCAUGCAUUGGCUCUAUUAGGAGUUGAAUCAAGUGAGUAUUCUCAUACAUUUCUUCAUUAAAUACAAAUAUUUAUACUUUGCCAGGUGACGAAGAAGACGAAGCUAUUGAAAGUUUUUUGAUCAGCAUGAGCUGUUUGCUGAGCAACAGAAGAAACGUUCAUUUCGGCUUACCAAAAUGUUCCAGUUGGCAGCGAAAUGUGCUAAGGAAUCUUGACGAAAGCAGAUUCAAUCAGAUGCUUCGUGUUCGCCCGGAGGAAUGCGAACGUAUCUUAGAAUUAAUUAAAAAUUACGCUGUUUUUAAGACAAGUUCAAGUUCUUCACAACUUCCAAUCGAACUGCAACUCAAAAUAGUGCUGUAUCGGUUGGGAUGUUCCGCCGAUGGACAAUCUGUUCGCAAGGUGGUUUUGGCAACUCUUCUCGUGUACAGCUGUGCUUUGUUUCGGGCUCUGGCGAAUUUGUUAAAUUUAUUUAAAACUUUAUUUGAAAAUAUCUGGAUUAAGCGAUCUUUUAAGAUAAGUAUCAGCGUUAUAUUGUGCUAUUGAAUCAAUUGAUAUUUACUUUAAUUGUGUGUUGGCUAAUUUUAAUUUAUUCCGCCGAGUCAUUUUAAAUUUGUUGUUGUGCUACAUUUUAAGCAGUGCAAUUGUUAGUGUUAAUUUACUUUGCUUACUUAAAUAUCUUUCUUGUUUUUAUUCGUUUCCAUCUUUGUCCACAGCUGUUCGCGAGUUUUUUUACUUUUCGCGUAUUACAGUGCAUCUCAAACUGCUCGCUACAUUGGUUGAUAACCAUCAAUUUUUAUUGCAUUCAUUUGUUAUAAAUAUUUUUGUCAUUGCUCGUUUUUCAUUUGUUAUUUAACAUUUUUAUAUUUCUAUUUAAUAUUUUUUUUCUUAUUCAUUAUGACUUGUAACUUUCCGAACUGCUCUGUAAAAGGUGAGUCGGAACGCUUUGUUUUUUGCUGGCUUUGUGAUGGGCUUGCCCAUCUUAAAUGUGCUGGACUGACAGGUACGAUAUUGAAUUCUAUUCUUGACAGUAAGGGAUUGCGCUGGUCUUGCUUAAAAUGCAGACCAACUGAAAUUGAAUUGUUUAAAGUUUUUAAGCAGGCGCGCAAUGGUUUCAAGGAGAUUGGUCAUGAGCUUGAAACCCUUACUGAAAAAUUUAGGCAUUAUGAAACGCUUUUUCAAUCAUUUAAAUGCCUAAAUAUUCAGGAAGAGAAUCAAAAACCUUCAUCAAAACGUAAACGCCCGUCUGAUGAAAAUACCACUGUAUCUUCCUUAAAACGAAUGCUCCCACCCACUAUUGGCCUUAUUAAUCUGUCAUCCCCUUGUCCUCAAGGAGAGAAGAUUCCGUCUGCUCAAGACACAGUGAAAACUGUUACUGAACACAGUAAGCGGAAAACUUCCCAAGAUCCGCCUGCAAAUACGUCCAAAUCAACUAAUAAAAACUUAGUGGUAAUACCGCGGAAAAAGGCAAUAUUUAUCUCGAGACUUGCUGCGAAUACCACAGUCGACGAUAUAAAAAGUUGCAUCUCGUCGAAAUUAAAAACGGAAGAUACAGACAUCCGUAAAUUUAACUUCAAAUACAACAGAGAUAUUAAAAAAUCAACGUAUCCGCUGACAGUUUUCGAUCGGUACUUGAUAAUUCAUUCUGGCCAUCUGGGGCCUUUGUGCGCGAAUUCGAGCACAAACGUGAUAAGCCCCCUGUAGUUAUCACCAAAUUGCCAAGAAAUUCCGUGAUUACAAAAAAUUAAUGAACAAUAAUUCGCUGAUUAUUUAUUAUCAAAAUGUUAGAGGUCUUAAUGCAAAACUUGCUGAUUAGUAUUUAAACAGCAUUCAUUGUAACCUUAAAAUCAUUGCUUCCACGGAAUCUUGGCUAAAGCCUCACAUUUUUGAUAAUGAAAUAUUCAUCAGCAAAUUCGAAAUCUUUAGAUAUGACCGGCUGGAUAGAAAAGGAGGUGGUGUCUUGUUUGCUGUUCAUUCUUCAAUUCCAUCUGAAGUCGAUGUUUCGCAUGCAGACUUCAUAGAAUUUAAGUGCAUUCGUAUUUGCGCUAAUAGUGGCCAUAUCUACUUAACUUUAUCUUACAUAGCGCCUCACUCGGACAUAUCUGUAUAUAUGCAGCAUGCUUCAUUAAUAAAUAAGGUUUCCUCAAUGGCUAAUAAUACUGAUUCCAUAAUUUUUUUGGGAGAUUUCAAUUUAUCGUGCGUAUCAUGAAAAUCUAUUGAUGAUUACACCAUUCCUAUUAGUACUCGCUUAUGUUUUAACGAGUUCUUAGAUGAAAUGUCGGAAUUGGGUCUUAACCAAAUUAAUUUAAUUUCAAACGAGUUUGGUAAGUUCUUAGAUCUAGUUUAUGUUGAUAACGCUUCAAUGUUCUCCGUUGUCCGAUGUGAUCCUUUGGUUCGGCCAGAGGACCCGCAUCAUCCUGCUUUGGAAAUUAACAUCGAAAUCAUAGCCAACUUUGUUCUUAACAAUACACAAGACCUUUGUUUUCGGUUCAACUUUGCGAAAGCUAAUUUUAAGAAGAUUAAUUACGAACUUUCUAAAGUAACUUGGCCAGAUUACAGUGGCAAUAUUGAAUUUAGUGCUUCCCACUUUAAUGAAACUAUUUUAAACUUAUUUGAAAAAUAUGUUCCGACGUGUGUUGUUCCUCAAAAAAGGAGUUCUAAUUUAUGGUUUUCGAAAGCAUUAUGUAAAUUAAAAAAUAGAAAAUCUCGUGCUUUUAAAGUUUUUAAAAAACUGGAUUAGUUGCUGACUAUUCAAAAUAUUCUAAAUUGCGUCGACAAUUUACUGAACUUAACAAAAUAUGUUAUAAUAAUUAUAUAAAUAAAGUAAAAAAUAAUAUUAUACGUAAUCCAAAAUUGUUCUAUGGUUUCGUCAACUCCAAACGCAGGAUUUCUAACUUUCCGUCCGCUAUGAAAUAUAAGUCUAGUAUGUCUAGUGACAAUCACACCAUUUCUAAUACGUUCGCUGAAUUCUUUAAGUCCAAUUACUCUCCAAAAUCUCCAAAAAUAUUCCGCAUCAGCACAAGUUAUGUCCGAUUUCUGUCAUUAAUGCGCCUACCAUUUCCGAAGCAGACGUCUUAUAUCAGUUGAACAUGUUAGAACAAUCAUACAAUUAUGGCCCAGAUAUGAUUCCCUCAUGCUUUCUUAAGAAAUGUGCCAAAUAUAUAUACCAACCCCUAACAAAACUAUUUAAUACAUCUCUUAUGCAAGGUUUAUUUCCAUCCAUAUGGAAGAAGUCAUUUAUAAUUCCUUUACAUACGAGGGAUGUCCGAUAAAUAACCGACCUCAACGUGAAGCUAGCGGCACAUCUGAAAAAAAAGUUUCUACUUCAAAUUGUGCAUAUUAUAAUAGCUACUCGCCAAAAUUUCAGAAAUUUAUCUUGCGCAAUUAUCUGUUGACAGUCGUUUUUGUGAGUCUAUUUCGGAGAUUUCACCAAAAUGGAAAAAAUUGAAUAUCGAGCUGUAAUUAAAUUUUUAUUUUUGAAAUGCAAUACGCCUUCACAAAUCAAAGAUGAGUUGGACUCUGUGUAUGGUGACUCUGCACCAUCGUUUACCACCGUAAAAUUCUGGGCAGCUGAAUUUAAACGUGGUCGCAGGAGCUUGGAAGAUGAUGAACGUCCUGGGCGUCCAAAAACUGUAACCACUAACGAUAACAUCGCUAAAGUUCAUCAAUUGGUACUAGACGACCGCCGGAUUAAAGUUAGGGAAAUAGCUGAGAUUAUGAAGAUGUCAAAAGAAACUGUUUGUCACAUAUUGAACCAAGAUUUGGGCAUGAGAAAGCUGUCCGCGCGUUGGGUGCCGCGUUUGCUUACGCUAGACCACAAACGUGCGCGCAUGAACAUUUCCAGCGCUCUGUUGGCUCAGUUUAGAGGCAAUAAAACCCGUUUUUGGCGCCGAUUGAUAACUGUAGACGAAACUUGGAUUCAUCAUUAUACGCCCGAAACAAAAAAACAAUCUAAA